Long non-coding RNA from Pongo pygmaeus (Bornean orangutan), 418 nucleotides. RefSeq lists it as uncharacterized. The record is from RefSeq and is a predicted model, not a curated record. Lineage: Eukaryota; Metazoa; Chordata; Mammalia; Primates; Hominidae. The transcript is spliced from 5 exons.
CUGCCAUCCACAUAAGAUGUGACUUUCCCCUCCUUGCCUUCUGCCAUGAUUGUGAGGCCUCCCUAGCCAUGUGGAACUGGUAUCUUCUUCCCAAAUCAGAACUGAGCUACCUGAUGGAAAAUGAGCAAGAUUAUUGUGUGGUGAAGAGAGACCUCUCCUAAAGUUCCUGUCCAGAUGCGCCUUCUCUCUGGAUCCACAUUUCUUCUCUCAUCACAGAUCUUUCACCUGUUGGUCGAAUCCAUGGAUGCGGAACCUGUGGAUACGGAGGGCCGACUGUAAUGAAUAUCCCAAAUGACCCAGCAAGAGGGACAUUUCACUUGCCGCCUCACAGCCAUUGUAUGUGAGUGUCUUGUGAUGAUGAUGAUGAUGAUGAUGAUGAUGAUGAUAAAAAUAGCCGUAAUGCAUUUCAUGAGUACUG